AUACGUAGGUGGCAAGCGUUGUCCGGAAUUAUUGGGCGUAAAGCGCGCGCAGGCGGUCCUUUAAGUCUGAUGUGAAAUCCCACGGCUCAACCGUGGAUGGUCAUUGGAAACUGGAGGACUUGAGUACAGAAGAGGAGAGUGGAAUUCCACGUGUAGCGGUGAAAUGCGUAGAGAUGUGGAGGAACACCAGUGGCGAAGGCGACUCUCUGGUCUGUAACUGACGCUGAGGCGCGAAAGCGUGGGUAGCGAACAGGAUUAGAUACCCUGGUAGUCCACGCCGUAAACGAUGAGUGCUAAGUGUUAGAGGGUUUCCGCCCUUUAGUGCUGCAGUAAACGCAUUAAGCACUCCGCCUGGGGAGUACGGCCGCAAGGCUGAA
This 377-nucleotide ribosomal RNA is filed under the name uncultured bacterium. RNAcentral describes it as "bacterial SSU rRNA". It matches the Rfam family "Bacterial small subunit ribosomal RNA", at positions 523 to 898 of the family's 1533-position model. The record is from RNAcentral.